AGUGAACGCUGGCGGUAGGCCUAACACAUGCAAGUCGAACGGCAGCACAGUAAGAGCUUGCUCUUACGGGUGGCGAGUGGCGGACGGGUGAGGAAUACAUCGGAAUCUACUUUUUCGUGGGGGAUAACGUAGGGAAACUUACGCUAAUAUCGCAUACGACCUACGGGUGAAAGCAGGGGAUCUUCGGACCUUGCGCGAUUGAAUGAGCCGAUGUCGGAUUAGCUAGUUGGCGGGGUAAAGGCCCACCAAGGCGACGAUCCGUAGCUGGUCUGAGAGGAUGAUCAGCCACACUGGAACUGAGACACGGUCCAGACUCCUACGGGAGGCAGCAGUGGGGAAUAUUGGACAAUGGGCGCAAGCCUGAUCCAGCCAUACCGCGUGGGUGAAGAAGGCCUUCGGGUUGUAAAGCCCUUUUGUUGGGAAAGAAAAGCAGCAGGUUAAUACCCCGCUGUUCUGACGGUACCCAAAGAAUAGGCACCGGCUAACUUCGUG
This 492-nucleotide ribosomal RNA is filed under the name uncultured bacterium. RNAcentral's name for it is "partial 16S ribosomal RNA". It matches the Rfam family "Bacterial small subunit ribosomal RNA", at positions 29 to 507 of the family's 1533-position model. The record is from RNAcentral.